This 448-nucleotide ribosomal RNA is filed under the name uncultured bacterium. RNAcentral's name for it is "bacterial SSU rRNA". It matches the Rfam family "Bacterial small subunit ribosomal RNA", at positions 330 to 794 of the family's 1533-position model. The record is from RNAcentral.
CCCAGACUCCUACGGGAGGCAGCAGUGGGGAAUAUUGCACAAUGGGGGGAACCCUGAUGCAGCGACGCCGCGUGGGUGAAGGAGCGUUUCGGCGCGUAAAGCCCUAUCGGCAGGGAAGAAGGAGGACGGUACCUGACUAAGAAGCCCCGGCUAACUACGUGCCAGCAGCCGCGGUAAUACGUAGGGGGCAAGCGUUAUCCGGAUUUACUGGGUGUAAAGGGGGCGCAGACGGCAGCGCAAGCCAGGAGUGAAAGCCCGGGGCCCAACCCCGGGACUGCUCUUGGAACUGCGCGGCUGGAGUGCAGGAGGGGCAGGCGGAAUUCCUGGUGUAGCGGUGAAAUGCGUAGAUAUCAGGAGGAACACCGGUGGCGAAGGCGGCCUGCUGGACUGCGACUGACGUUGAGGCCCGAAAGCGUGGGGAGCAAACAGGAUUAGAUACCCUCGUACA